GACGAGCGCUGGCGGCGUGCUUAACACAUGCAAGUCGAACGGAAAGGCCCUGCUUUUGUGGGGUGCUCGAGUGGCGAACGGGUGAGUAACACGUGAGUAACCUGCCCUUGACUUUGGGAUAACUUCAGGAAACUGGGGCUAAUACCGGAUAGGAGCUCCUGCUGCAUGGUGGGGGUUGGAAAGUUUCGGCGGUUGGGGAUGGACUCGCGGCUUAUCAGCUUGUUGGUGGGGUAGUGGCUUACCAAGGCUUUGACGGGUAGCCGGCCUGAGAGGGUGACCGGCCACAUUGGGACUGAGAUACGGCCCAGACUCCUACGGGAGGCAACAGUGGGGAAUAUUGCACAAUGGGCGGAAGCCUGAUGCAGCAACGCCGCGUGCGGGAUGACGGCCUUCGGGUUGUAAACCGCUUUCGCCUGUGACGAAGCGUGAGUGACGGUAAUGGGUAAAGAAGCACCGGCUAACUACGUG
RNAcentral lists this ribosomal RNA (468 nucleotides) under uncultured bacterium. RNAcentral describes it as "partial 16S ribosomal RNA". It matches the Rfam family "Bacterial small subunit ribosomal RNA", at positions 28 to 507 of the family's 1533-position model. The record is from RNAcentral.